UACGUAGGUGGCGAGCGUUGUCCGGAAUUACUGGGUGUAAAGCGCGUGUAGGCGGCAGGCCAAGUCGGUGGUGAAAGCGCCCGGCUCAACUGGGCGAGGUCCAUGGUAACUGGUCAGCUGGAGGACGGUAGAGGCGAGUGGAAUUCCCGGUGUAGUGGUGAAAUGCGUAGAGAUCGGGAGGAACACCUGUGGCGAAGGCGGCUCGCUGGGCCGGUCCUGACGCUGAAACGCGAAGGCGUGGGGAGCGAACGGG
RNAcentral lists this ribosomal RNA (253 nucleotides) under uncultured bacterium. Its description in RNAcentral is "partial 16S ribosomal RNA". It matches the Rfam family "Bacterial small subunit ribosomal RNA", at positions 524 to 776 of the family's 1533-position model. The record is from RNAcentral.